Molecule: ribosomal RNA, 480 nt
Filed under: Triticum aestivum (bread wheat)
Lineage: Eukaryota; Viridiplantae; Streptophyta; Magnoliopsida; Poales; Poaceae
Description: partial small subunit ribosomal RNA
Source: RNAcentral
AUGGGACACCUAUUCAGGCCAAGACCAUGGCCAUCGUUCAAAUAUCAUUCAGUCGCAGGCUCUCCCGAGAAGAGAUGCUCAUGUAUAAGUAGUCAGGCGCAUGAAGUUUCAUGGUUCAAUCAUUGGCUAGUUCAGUUGCUGUUCAGAAAGGUGGUUUCCUUUCAAGUUUUUUGCUGUGAGCUGAUUCACAUGGAAGAGGUUUUCAGUUUCCAAUCUGUUGAGAUUUCGCAAUAUAGACCUGAUGACCCAAGGUUGCUAUUGUGGCUGCCGACUAGUGCAGACAGUCUAGGGAAGAUAUUGGUGCAGGGAAUACCUUGCAAUGGAACUCCGCAUGCUUUUUUUAAGGUGAUGGCAGAGCGAUACAGGGUUAUCAUGGAACAGAACUCCGACCAAGGCCACGGCCACUGUUUGAGUUCAAUCAGGAGACCAUUCAGUUGCAGCUACAAUGGACAUCAUUUUCAUUAUAUGAGCAAUUUUUGA